RNAcentral lists this ribosomal RNA (318 nucleotides) under Erysiphe intermedia. RNAcentral describes it as "partial large subunit ribosomal RNA". It matches the Rfam family "Eukaryotic large subunit ribosomal RNA", at positions 327 to 659 of the family's 3401-position model. Lineage: Eukaryota; Fungi; Ascomycota; Leotiomycetes; Helotiales; Erysiphaceae. The record is from RNAcentral.
CCAGAGACCGAUAGCGCACAAGUAGAGUGAUCGAAAGAUGAAAAGCACUUUGGAAAGAGAGUUAAACAGUACGUGAAAUUGUUGAAAGGGAAGCGCUUGCACCCAGACUUGGGCGCUGCUGAUCACCUUGAGGUCUCCUCGAGUGCACUCGACAGCGCACAGGCCAGCAUCGGUUCGGGUGGCUGGAUAAAGGCCGUAGGAACGUAGCUCCUUUCGGGGAGUGUUAUAGCCUACGGUGCCAUGCAGCCCAGCCGGACCGAGGACCGCGCCUUCGGGCUAGGAUGCUGGCGUAAUGGGUGUAAGCGACCCGUCUUGAAA